UACGUAGGGCGCGAGCGUUGUCCGGAAUUAUUGGGCGUAAAGAGCUCGUAGGCGGCCUGUUGCGUCCGCUGUGAAAUCCCAGGGCUCAACCCUGGGCGUGCAGUGGAUACGGGCAGGCUGGAGGCAGGCAGGGGAGAACGGAAUUCCCGGUGUAGCGGUAAAAUGUGUAGAUAUAUGGAAGAACAUCAAUAACGGCGAAGGCAGUUAACUAUUCUGUUACUGACGUUGAGGCACGAAAGCGUGGGGAGCAAAACGG
This 256-nucleotide ribosomal RNA is filed under the name uncultured bacterium. Its description in RNAcentral is "partial 16S ribosomal RNA". It matches the Rfam family "Bacterial small subunit ribosomal RNA", at positions 524 to 776 of the family's 1533-position model. The record is from RNAcentral.